CCUACGGGUGGCUGCAGUAGGGAAUAUUGCUCAAUGGGGGAAACCCUGAAGCAGCAACGCCGCGUGGAGGAUGAAGGUUUUCGGAUUGUAAACCCCUUUUGUUAGAGAAGAGAAUGACGGUAUCUAACGAAUAAGCACCGGCUAACUCCGUGCAAGCAGCCGCGGUAAUACGGCGGGUGCAAGCGUUACACGGAAUAACUGGGCGUAAAGCGCGCGUAGGCGGGAUAGCAAGUCAGAUGUGAAAUCCUAUGGCUUAACCUUAGAACUGCAUUUGAAACUGUUAUUCUAGAGUAUGGGAGAGGUAGGUGGAAUUCUUGGUGUAGGGGUGAAAUCCGUAGAUAUCAAGAGGAAUACUCAUUGCGAAGGCGGCCUGCUAGAACAUAACUGACGCUGAUGCGCGAAAGCGUGGGGAGCAAACAGGAUUAGAUACCCCUGUAGUC
RNAcentral lists this ribosomal RNA (440 nucleotides) under uncultured bacterium. Its description in RNAcentral is "partial 16S ribosomal RNA". It matches the Rfam family "Bacterial small subunit ribosomal RNA", at positions 338 to 795 of the family's 1533-position model. The record is from RNAcentral.